AGAGUUUGAUCAUGGCUCAGGAUGAACGCUAGCGGCAGGCCUAACACAUGCAAGUCGAGGGGUAACAUAGGAAAGCUUGCUUUUCUGAUGACGACCGGCGCACGGGUGCGUAACGCGUAUACAACCUACCUUUUAGCGGGGAAUAGCCCAGGGAAACUUGGAUUAAUGCCCCAUAGUAUAUAGACUUCUCCUGAAGUUUAUAUUAAACAUUUAUGGCUAUUAGAUGGGUAUGCGUCCUAUUAGUUAGUUGGUAAGGUAACGGCUUACCAAGGCAGCGAUAGGUAGGGGUCCUGAGAGGGAGAUCCCCCACACUGGUACUGAGACACGGACCAGACUCCUACGGGAGGCAGCAGUGAGGAAUAUUGGACAAUGGGCGAGAGCCUGAUCCAGCCAUGCCGCGUGCAGGAAGACUGCCCUAUGGGUUGUAAACUGCUUUUACAGAGGAAGAACCACCCCCACGUGUGGGGGUUUGACGGUACUCUGCGAAUAA
RNAcentral lists this ribosomal RNA (490 nucleotides) under uncultured bacterium. RNAcentral describes it as "bacterial SSU rRNA". It matches the Rfam family "Bacterial small subunit ribosomal RNA", at positions 8 to 489 of the family's 1533-position model. The record is from RNAcentral.